RNAcentral lists this ribosomal RNA (460 nucleotides) under uncultured Prevotella sp. RNAcentral's name for it is "bacterial SSU rRNA". It matches the Rfam family "Bacterial small subunit ribosomal RNA", at positions 338 to 795 of the family's 1533-position model. Lineage: Bacteria; Pseudomonadati; Bacteroidota; Bacteroidia; Bacteroidales; Prevotellaceae. The record is from RNAcentral.
CCUACGGGAGGCAGCAGUGAGGAAUAUUGGUCAAUGGGCGAGAGCCUGAACCAGCCAAGUAGCGUGCGGGAUGAAGGCCCUUGUGGUCGUAAACCGCUUUUAUCAGUGAAUAAAGUGCACCACGUGUGGUGUCAUUGCAGGUAGCUGAAGAAAAAGGACCGGCUAAUUCCGUGCCAGCAGCCGCGGUAAUACGGAAGGUCCGGGCGUUAUCCGGAAUUAUUGGGUUUAAAGGGAGCGCAGGCGGGAGUAUAAGUCAGCUGUUAAAUAUCAGGGCCCAACUCUGUUAUGCAGUUGAAACUAUAUUUCUUGAGUACGCACAGGGAUGGCGGAAUUCAGGGUGUAGCGGUGAAAUGCUUAGAUAUCCUGAAGAACUCCGAUCGCGAAGGCAGCCAUCCGGAGCGUAACUGACGCUGAGGCUCGAAGGUGCGGGUAUCGAACAGGAUUAGAUACCCCAGUAGUC